UGUUUAAGUUAAGCUUUACAGUGCUGGAGUUAACUCUGGGAUCUUAAAAUGUUUUCUUGAUGGUAUAUGCCAAUCUGGAGUUACAGGUACAAAUUGUCUUUCCUGAUCUGUUUUGCUCCUCUACCCCUCUUUUCUCUCAAACACACACACACACACACACACACACACACACACACACACUUGCACACAAUAGCUUUCUACAUAAAAUGUUUUCUGGAACAUAUGGGAGGUGCAGAGGAAGAUGAAAGGAUUUGCCCAAGCUAAUUCCAGACUUGAAGUUGAUAAUUAUACACACCAGAAGGCAAUUUCAUUAACAUAUUAAUUUCAGGACUUAACAUGUAUCUAAGAGAAACACAUUGGAAGUCACAAGACCCAGAUUCUAUUUCUAGCUUUGCCAUUGACCUUCUUGGUGACCUUCCAUAAGUCACUCAACACUCAAGAAACUUAGUCUUCUUAUUUAAAAAAAAAAAAAGAAAAAAAUCCUAGAACCUAGCAGUCAUCUCAGAAAAAUGCUAUGGAGU
This 521-nucleotide long non-coding RNA is filed under the name Marmota monax (woodchuck). The record is from RNAcentral. Lineage: Eukaryota; Metazoa; Chordata; Mammalia; Rodentia; Sciuridae.